CCUACGGGUGGCAGCAGUGGGGAAUAUUGCACAAUGGGGGAAACCCUGAUGCAGCGACGCCGCGUGAGUGAAGAAGUAUUUCGGUAUGUAAAGCUCUAUCAGCAGGGAAGAAAAAAGACGGUACCUGACUAAGAAGCCCCGGCUAACUACGUGCCAGCAGCCGCGGUAAUACGUAGGGGGCAAGCGUUAUCCGGAUUUACUGGGUGUAAAGGGAGCGUAGACGGAGAAGCAAGUCUGAAGUGAAAGCCAGUGGCGUAACCACGGGACUGCUUUGGAAACUGUUUGACUAGAGUGCUGGAGAGGUAAGUGGAAUUCCUAGUGUAGCGGUGAAAUGCGUAGAUAUUAGGAGGAACACCAGUGGCGAAGGCGGCUUACUGGACAGUAACUGACGUUGAGGCUCGAAAGCGUGGGGAGCAAACAGGAUUAGAUACCCGAGUAGUC
Molecule: ribosomal RNA, 441 nt
Filed under: uncultured bacterium
Lineage: Bacteria
Description: partial 16S ribosomal RNA
Rfam family: Bacterial small subunit ribosomal RNA
Source: RNAcentral